This 406-nucleotide ribosomal RNA is filed under the name uncultured bacterium. RNAcentral's name for it is "partial 16S ribosomal RNA". It matches the Rfam family "Bacterial small subunit ribosomal RNA", at positions 30 to 526 of the family's 1533-position model. The record is from RNAcentral.
AUUGAACGCUGGCGGCAGGCCUAACACAUGCAAGUCGAACGAGUGGCGGACGGGUGCGUAAUGUCUGGGAAACUGCCCGAUGGAGGGGGAUAGCUACUGGAAACGGUAGCUAAUACCGCAUACCAUCGGAUGUGCCCAGGUGGGAUUAGCUAGUAGGUGGGGUAACGGCUCACCUAGGCGACGCUCCCUAGCUGGUCGGAGAGGAUGACCAGCCACACGGGAACAGAGACACGGCCCAGACCCCUCCGGGAGCAAGCAGUGGGGAAUAUUGCAAAAUGGGAGCAAGCCGGACGCAGACAGCCCGCGUGUAUGAAGAAGGCUUUCGGGUUUUAAAGUCCGUUCUUCAAGGAGGCGUUACUCGAAGAAGAAGCAACGGCUAACUCCGUGCCAGCAGCCGCGGUAAUUC